AGGCUGCCUUCCUGUGCCAGAAGAUGGGGGAGCAGGGAAGACGACCCCGACUCUCUAAAAUCAUCCACAAAAACCUUCCAGAGCAUUUAUGCAACAUAGGACAAUUUGUUCAUCAAGGAAUAGGUAAAAAGAGCUCUGAACUCCAAGCUCCACAACAGUUGAGUUUGCCCCUCAUCCUGGAGGACACAAAAGAAGAAAGUCACUAGAAUCAGAGGCCAGAUCUCUUCUCCAGCCCCUCCCUGUAUCUACAUGGAAAAUGCUCACUGUGGCAUCCGAGAAAAGCCAGUCUGCUGACCAGCCACGCCUGGGGGAUGGGGAAAAACAAGAGUUUGAAGAAAUGGAAAUGAAAAUAAAUAAAUGUAACUUUCAACAGGAAA
Long non-coding RNA from Rhea pennata, 377 nucleotides. RefSeq lists it as uncharacterized. The record is from RefSeq and is a predicted model, not a curated record. NCBI's taxonomy places the organism in Eukaryota, Metazoa, Chordata, Aves, Rheiformes, Rheidae. The transcript has 3 exons.